This 1065-nucleotide ribosomal RNA is filed under the name Triticum aestivum (bread wheat). Its description in RNAcentral is "partial small subunit ribosomal RNA". The record is from RNAcentral. Lineage: Eukaryota; Viridiplantae; Streptophyta; Magnoliopsida; Poales; Poaceae.
AUGGCCGGCGACGUCGCGCGCAAGCAGCUCCAGGCGCGCGUGGGGGCGUUGCCGUGGGCGGUGCGGCUCCAGCUGCGCGCGCUCGAGGCCGCCGUCGACGCCACGCAGCGCCGGGACGGCACCGUCAACCGCUUCCUCUUCUCGCUGCUCGUGGACCGCCAGGCGCCCGCCAACCCCGCGCGCCCGGACGCCGGGGGCGUCCGCUCCGUGGACGUCACCGUCGACGCGUCCACCGGCGUGCGGGCCCGCGUCUACUUCGCGACAGGCGAGGCGGGGGCGGAGGCGGACGCGUCGCCGCGGCCGGUGAUCGUGUACUUCCACGGCGGCGGCUUCACGGUGUUCUCCGCGGCCACCCGCCCCUACGACGCGCUCUGCCGCACCAUGUGCCGCGAGGCGGGCGCCGUCGUCGUGUCCGUGACCUACCGCCUGGCGCCCGAGCACCGCUACCCCGCGGCCUACGACGACGGGGAGGCCGCCCUCCGGUACCUCGCCGCCACCGGCCUGCCCGCCGAGGUCCCCGUCCGCGUCGACCUCUCCCGCUGCUUCCUCGCCGGCGACAGCGCCGGCGCCAACAUCGCGCACCACGUGGCCCAGCGCUGGAUUGCGGCACCAGCGACAACGCCUCCAGCCGUCCACCUCGCCGGCCUCCUGCUCCUGUCCGCCUACUUCGGCGGAGAGGACCGGACCGAGUCGGAGCAGGCACUGGAGGGCGUGGCCCCGAUCGUCAACCUCCGCCGGUCCGACUUCUGGUGGAAGGCGUUCUUGCCGGAGGGCGCCGACCGGAACCACCCGGCCGCGCACGUGACGGGCGAGGCCGGCACGGAGCCGGAGCUGCCCGAGGCGUUCCCGCGGGCGAUGGUGGUCGUCGGCGGGCUCGACCCGCUCCAGGACUGGGGGAGGCGGUACGCCGCCAUGCUGCGCCGGAAGGGCAAGGAGGUGCGCGUGGUGGAGUUCACGGAGGCUGUGCACGCCUUCUACUUCUUCCCGGCGCUGCCCGAGACCGGCAAGCUCGUCGCGGAGAUCAGGGCGUUCGUGGAGAGCGUGGCGCCGAAUCAGACCACGUAG